GUGCUCGCUUUGGCAACACAUAUACUAAAACUGGAACAAUAUAAAGAAGAUUAGCAUGGCCCCUCCGAGGGUGGCACACAAACUCAUGAAACAUUCCUUAUUUUU
Molecule: small nuclear RNA, 105 nt
Organism: Gracilinanus agilis (Agile Gracile Mouse Opossum)
Lineage: Eukaryota; Metazoa; Chordata; Mammalia; Didelphimorphia; Didelphidae
Source: RefSeq, a predicted model, not a curated record